Molecule: ribosomal RNA, 247 nt
Filed under: uncultured bacterium
Lineage: Bacteria
Description: partial 16S ribosomal RNA
Rfam family: Bacterial small subunit ribosomal RNA
Source: RNAcentral
AGUAACGCGUGAGUAACCUGCCUCAUACAACGGGAUACCUGAGGGAAACUUCAGUUAAUACGGUAUAAGACCACACUGCCGCAUGGCAGAGGGGUAAAAGGAGCAAUCCGGUAUGAGAUGGACUCGCGUCGCAUUAGCUAGUUGGUGAGGUAACGGCCCACCAAGGCGACGAUGCGUAGCCGACCUGAGAGGGUGAUCGGCCACAUUGGGACUGAGAUACGGCCCAGACUCCUACGGGAGGCAGCAG